CCGAGCGCAGCCCCGGAAGGCGGCCGGAGGGGACCUCUCGGCCGCGGUGUCAGUCCCUCCGGAGUGGCUGUGACAGCAGCGGCAGCAAGAGCUUCUACGCAGUGCGUGAUGCCUUAUCUCGCCCCAGUACCCUCUAGGAUAAGCAGUAAAAAUUAUCAAAUGUGAAGCUUUCAAUCUGGAAGUAAAAUGAAAAAAGAGAAAGCAUAAGAAAUUGAGUUGCCAAGAGCACCUUAAACAAGCAAGUCACAUCUUCAAGUAAAUCUUUAAAAUAUCUGACAUUCUGCAUUCGCAAUGAAGAUACAUUCCUAAUCAGGUUUUCUGAGACCCUGCUGGGGGAACUGAGCAGUGGAGCAGAGGAGCUGGAAAGAGAAAAAGAGAAACAGACAAGGAAAAACAGAGGAAAGAUGAAGAGAACAAGAGAGAGAAGAAUGUGAAGAGAGCGUAAGAGGGCGCUGGUACCUCUGACUGGAGACGGAAAGAGAAAGAGAAUGAGGCUCAAUGCGGAGGGUCAGUGCCAGAGAAAAGGCUUAAAUCAGAAGAGAAAGAAGGAAAUGCGUUUAAUGGGAAAUAGGAAAGCACCAGGAUUAUUUACCUCAGUUUCUGCUCAAAGAGAUUGUUGUAAGUAGCUACCUGCCCCUUGGUGGAGGCGUUCAGUUUUAGAAAUCCCUGUCAUUCUCACGGAAGUCCUAACAAAAAAUAAGGAACUUGGUGGAGGAACGGGAUACUUUUAAUUGAAGGUCAUGUUCAUCUAAUAGAUAUGGCCUAUCCAUAAUUAAAGGAAAGAUGUUACAUGUUGUUCCUGCCUCUCAAGAGGGUGGAGGGGAAGACAUCUGGGAGGGACACUUGAUGCCAUGACUGUGUGAAAAAUGCUUUGAAAUAUGAUAAGAUUUUAGAAAUCCUAGCUCAUUUAUUGUUUUCUACGUGACCUCCACAUGGAAAUCAAACUUGGUGUUUUUUCCCUGUGAUUAGCAGCAUCAAUGCCUUUGUCUUCCCCACCUCAGAUACCACAGGGAAGACGGAGCCCUAAGUGAUACAUUUUAUUCUUACGCACCCCUACUCAAGACCUUGAGAGAGUCUGAGGUUCUGGUUCUGCCUGAUGGUGUAUUCAGGAGACCCGCAUGCUGGUUUCAGUUGGCACUAAUUAGUUAUAACAUGUCUGUUGAUUCUUUUGUAACUUAACAAAAAUGUGUCAGUCUCUAAUUCUCUAAUUAUGUUAGGUACUUGGGGUAAGAAGCUUUAGCGCCUGACGUCAAGGACGUCACAGUCUAAUAAAUAAAAAUUUGUAGCAUGGA
Suricata suricatta (meerkat) is the source of this 1292-nucleotide long non-coding RNA. RefSeq lists it as uncharacterized. NCBI's taxonomy places the organism in Eukaryota, Metazoa, Chordata, Mammalia, Carnivora, Herpestidae. The record is from RefSeq and is a predicted model, not a curated record. The transcript has 3 exons.